GACGAACGCUGGCGGCGUGCCUAAUACAUGCAAGUCGAACGAAGCUGUUUUAACUGGUGCUUGCACCGACUUAAACAACUGAGUGGCGAACGGGUGAGUAACACGUGGGUAACCUGCCCCAAAGCGGGGGAUAACAUUUGGAAACAGAUGCUAAUACCGCAUAACCACAGAAACCACAUGGUUUCUGUGUCAAAGAUGGUUUCGGCUAUCACUUUGGGAUGGACCCGCGGCGUAUUAGCUAGUUGGUAAGGUAAUGGCUUACCAAGGCAAUGAUACGUAGCCGAACUGAGAGGUUGAACGGCCACAUUGGGACUGAGACACGGGCCAAACUCCUACGGGGGGCAGCAGUAGGGAAUCUUCCACAAUGGACGAAAGUCUGAUGGAGCAACGCCGCGUGAGUGAAGAAGGUUUUCGGAUCGUAAAACUCUGUUGUCAGAGAAGAACGUGUGCGAGAGUAACUGUUCGUGCAGUGACGGUAUCUGGCCAGAAAGCCACGGCUAACUACGUGCCAGCAGCCGCCGUAA
Molecule: ribosomal RNA, 524 nt
Filed under: uncultured bacterium
Lineage: Bacteria
Description: partial 16S ribosomal RNA
Rfam family: Bacterial small subunit ribosomal RNA
Source: RNAcentral